UGUCUCUUCCAACUCUCGGCACAAUUGCGACAAACUAGCAUUGACCCUUUCCACCUCCCAUCAGGUCUCUCUCUCUCCCCUCUUCCCUCUCUCUUCCCCCUCUCCUUCUUCUUCUCUUUCUCCUUCUUCCUCUUCUUCACCUUCCUCCGUCUUCAUCUCCGUUCAUCAUCUUCUUGACGGUGAACAGAAAACUACCGCCAACGAAACCGUAUUGGUAGGCCGGAGCUGUAUAGUUCGGAAACCAAGGUGCUUCUACUAUGUGAAUUUUCUUAAAAGUAAACGAUGAUCGCUGCCUGUGUUUUCCGUCCUCCCAAUAAAAUUUAAUUUUCUUCCUCUGAUCUCUGCCAAAUCUAGCAAAGCUUUCUAUAUCUUUAUUGGACGUUUCAGCUUCAAUAAUCCAAUCGGUUUGACCUCAAAUGUCGGACUUCUGAAGGCUAAGAAAGAACUUCAAGGCAAUAAAUCCUUUCUAUUAAUAACCAAGAUCCAAGAGGUCAGAGCCAUGGAGCAAUGGUGUCUCAUGCUCGAGUAGAAGAAUGCAUCGUUGAACUUCAAGAUCUUAGCUCACAAGACUGAGAUCGAGAUGCUUGAGGCCAAAUACCAGGUUGCAGCCCAGCAAUUCAGUGAGCUGAAGAAUGAGGUUGAUGUUUUAUGAGUUGAAGAGUUUUGAAAUGGAAAAGUUCAGGAGACAGGUGGGAAAAUAUUGUUUUGGCUUCUUGUUUGACCUGCAAAUGUUGGACUUUUGAAACCACUCGAUUGUAUAGAAAUGAACGAAGCUUUGCAUUUUCAGCUUUUCCAAUAGGAUCAGCAAGUGUAUUUUCUCUGU
This is a non-coding RNA of Nelumbo nucifera (sacred lotus), 823 nucleotides long. The record is from RefSeq and is a predicted model, not a curated record. Lineage: Eukaryota; Viridiplantae; Streptophyta; Magnoliopsida; Proteales; Nelumbonaceae.